AUGGUCUCUCGACUGUUUGACGAAGUAGUUAAGGCCAUGGAGUUGGUUCUGGAGAAACUAUUAUCAGAGGGUGAAGAAUCCAAUGAAGCUGAAGCUAGGCCUAAAUUUAGACUUGUAGUUCCUAAUAGCUCUUGCGGUGGAAUUAUUGGUAAAGAAGGAGCAACAAUCAAGUCAUUCAUUGAAGCUUCAGCGACCCAUAAAACCCGGGAAGUGAAGCCCUCUUCAAUCCUCUACCUCUCUCGCUGCUGUGUCCAGCCUGCUGCCUGCCUGCUGUGUUGCCUCAAAGAAGGGUCGGGGGCACUUGAUGUGGAGGAUGGCGACAAGGAGAAGUGA
This 333-nucleotide ribosomal RNA is filed under the name Triticum aestivum (bread wheat). RNAcentral describes it as "partial small subunit ribosomal RNA". The record is from RNAcentral. Lineage: Eukaryota; Viridiplantae; Streptophyta; Magnoliopsida; Poales; Poaceae.